UUAGUUAAAACCAAAAUAGAGGUACACUACUGUUAAUAGUGAAAUUGAAAAAUUUUUUCUAACUAAA
Molecule: transfer RNA, 67 nt
Filed under: Thrips hawaiiensis
Lineage: Eukaryota; Metazoa; Arthropoda; Insecta; Thysanoptera; Thripidae
Description: tRNA-Asn
Source: RNAcentral